CAUGCACUGCAUGUAACACAGUAUCGUGCAAAGCCGUGCGUGGAACUUGGAAGGAUCUUUCCGUACUCCUGUGGCUGUGGCGUAAAAGAACAUCCAUUCGGUAGCUGAUAAAGCCAACUUCUACAUUGUUCCCAGGAUCUAUAUACCAACCAUACCUUGGCGGUCUAGCUCUCAUCAACACAGACUACCAGUUGGUGGUACACGCACAGCUCCUCGCCAUGGGAAUUUGUUGGAGCAAUAGACAGGCAAAACGAAUUUUGGAAAAGGAUCGAGUCAUUAAAAGAUUAUGGGUCGCCAUUUUGGUGGUUGUUUUCCUCGCCAUCACGGCUCUGGCUGGUGCGCUUAUUGGCGCCCUAACGACCGACACUAUUGUUGAAGUCGCGAUGGGUAUGGGCAUUGGCUUUGUGGUAGGCUUAGCGGCAUUCAUCUGCAUUGCUUGCUUCUGUUUGUGUGCCGACGAAUGUGCAGAAGACGAAGAACAAUGAGGCCAUAAGGAAGAAGGAAGAAUGUUGUUUUUAUACCUCAAGAAUAGCACCAGAACACGUAGAUUACUUGUACAGUGUACCCCCUUAACGUGACAACGAAGAAGAUCGUUUGAGGCUGAAGGACACCUGAAGUGGGGCAGAUAGGGGAAAUAUUUGAGAGAAUUGUGUCUUUGAUGAUACAUGAUCAUGGCAUUAUUUCGAAUACAGUCUCAGAUUUGUCCAUAACAAGUUUUAGAAUUAUGUCUACCGUACGUACCAGCAGCGCACUUUAACUUCCUUCCUGGUAGUUUUUCCCUUUAAAAUGUAUUCCCAGUGCUUUUAGUUGGUUUAUAUCCUCUAACGAUUUGUCAAUUUGUAUGUUUUCUUUUAAUGGAUUAUUGUCUGACAACGACUAAUUCCAUCAUUGUGUACAAGUAAUAAGCCACUUCGGAGUUACUACAGCGCAUGCGCACAUCAGAUUCAACGAUUUUAAAGUGUUGUGGAUAAACACAGCAGAUAAAUGCACACAAGUCUAAGGGGGAUGUGGUAACCAAAUCCACAUUUUGCAAUGUUUCAUCGAAUCAAAAAUAAGAUGGAAAUUUUGUUCGCACAAAAGUUGGAGUAUACAAAACAAUUUAAGCCAUGGUGCCAUUAAAAAUACUCAAAAGUUAGCAUUCAUUUAAAAACAAGAUCUUUUCUUUGAUUUCGGUGGUACCCUGCUAUGAUUUUGCUCGCGAAUGGCAAACUGUUUAUCCACAAAAGUAAAGUAAAUGGUUGAAUCUUGAUAUGCGCAUGUGCAUUAGUAACUCUGAAGUGGCUUAUUCGACGACUAAACAUCGCUGAAUGUUUUCGCUCGAUCUUUCAUUCCAAAAGUGAAUAACUUUUCUAUUAAUAUUUCUAGGAAAUAGCAAUUGAAAAAACAAAGCUCAUUUUCCAUAUGAAACUCGAACAGGGGGAAUGUAUCUUCAAACUGACUAAAGUUAGCAUCAGGCCUCUUCACCCAAUGGCCAUUGUUUCUGUUGUACCCUUUAUAUUUUUUUUGAGGG
Molecule: long non-coding RNA, 1510 nt
Organism: Patiria miniata (bat star)
Lineage: Eukaryota; Metazoa; Echinodermata; Asteroidea; Valvatida; Asterinidae
Exons: 3
Source: RefSeq, a predicted model, not a curated record